Molecule: ribosomal RNA, 486 nt
Filed under: Laccophilus sp. MB1176
Lineage: Eukaryota; Metazoa; Arthropoda; Insecta; Coleoptera; Dytiscidae
Description: partial 16S ribosomal RNA
Rfam family: Bacterial large subunit ribosomal RNA
Source: RNAcentral
AGGUCUAACCUGCCCAAUGAUUUAUUUAAUGGCCGCAGUAAUUUGACUGUGCAAAGGUAGCAUAAUCAUUAGUUUUUUAAUUGAAAGCUUGUAUGAAUGGUUGGACGAGAGAAAAUCUGUCUUAAUAUUAUAAUUUGAAUUUAAUUUUUUAGUUAAAAAGCUAAAAUUUUUUUAAAAGACGAGAAGACCCUAUAGAUCUUUAUAUAAAUUUUUUAUAAAUUUAAUUUAGAAUUUUUUAAUAAUUUAUUUAAAUUUAUAUUUUAUUGGGGUAAUAAAAAGAUUAGAUUAAUUCUUUUUUAUUUAUAUAUUUAAUUAUAAGUAUUAGAUCCAAUUAUAUUGAAAUAUGAUUAAGUUACCUUAGGGAUAACAGCGUAAUUUUUUUGGAGAGUUCAUAUCGAUAAGAAAGAUUGCGACCUCGAUGUUGGAUUAAAAGUAAUCUUAGGUGCAGAAUUUUAAGAUUUUGGUCUGUUCGACCAUUGAAUUUUU